Molecule: ribosomal RNA, 792 nt
Filed under: uncultured bacterium
Lineage: Bacteria
Description: bacterial SSU rRNA
Rfam family: Bacterial small subunit ribosomal RNA
Source: RNAcentral
AUGGCGACCGGCGCACGGGUGAGUAACACGUAUCCAACCUGCCGAUGACUCGGGGAUAGCCUUUCGAAAGAAAGAUUAAUACCCGAUGGCAUAGUUCUUCCGCAUGGUGGAACUAUUAAAGAAUUUCGGUCAUCGAUGGGGAUGCGUUCCAUUAGGUUGUUGGCGGGGUAACGGCCCACCAAGCCUUCGAUGGAUAGGGGUUCUGAGAGGAAGGUCCCCCACAUUGGAACUGAGACACGGUCCAAACUCCUACGGGAGGCAGCAGUGAGGAAUAUUGGUCAAUGGACGAGAGUCUGAACCAGCCAAGUAGCGUGAAGGAUGACUGCCCUAUGGGUUGUAAACUUCUUUUAUACGGGAAUAAAGUGAGGCACGUGUGCCUUUUUGUAUGUACCGUAUGAAUAAGGAUCGGCUAACUCCGUGCCAGCAGCCGCGGUAAUACGGAGGAUCCGAGCGUUAUCCGGAUUUAUUGGGUUUAAAGGGAGCGUAGGCGGACGCUUAAGUCAGUUGUGAAAGUUUGCGGCUCAACCGUAAAAUUGCAGUUGAUACUGGGUGUCUUGAGUACAGUAGAGGCAGGCGGAAUUCGUGGUGUAGCGGUGAAAUGCUUAGAUAUCACGAAGAACUCCGAUUGCGAAGGCAGCUUGCUGGACUGUAACUGACGCUGAUGCUCGAAAGUGUGGGUAUCAAACAGGAUUAGAUACCCUGGUAGUCCACACAGUAAACGAUGAAUACUCGCUGUUUGCGAUAUACAGUAAGCGGCCAAGCGAAAGCGUUAAGUAUUCCACCUGGGGAGUA